This 475-nucleotide ribosomal RNA is filed under the name uncultured bacterium. RNAcentral's name for it is "bacterial SSU rRNA". It matches the Rfam family "Bacterial small subunit ribosomal RNA", at positions 335 to 802 of the family's 1533-position model. The record is from RNAcentral.
ACUCCUACGGGAGGCAGCAGUGGGGAAUAUUGCACAAUGGGGGAAACCCUGAUGCAGCCAUGCCGCGUGUGUGAAGAAGGCCUUCGGGUUGUAAAGCACUUUCAGUAGGGAGGAAGGUAGUGUAGUUAACACCUGCACUAUUUGACGUUACCUACAGAAGAAGCACCGGCUAACUCCGUGCCAGCAGCCGCGGUAAUACGGAGGGUGCGAGCGUUAAUCGGAAUUACUGGGCGUAAAGCGCAUGCAGGCGGCCUGUUAAGUCAGAUGUGAAAGCCCGGGGUCUUAACCUCGGAAUUGCAUUUGAAACUGGCAGGCUAGAGUCUUGUAGAGGGGUUAGAAUUUCAGGUGUAGCGGUGAAAUGCGUAGAGAUCUGAAGGAAUACCAGUGGCGAAGGCGGCCCCCGUGGACAAAGACUGACGCUCAGAUGCGAAAGCGUGGGAGCAAACAGGAUUAGAUACCCCGUGGUAGACUGUCA